UAUCCCUACGGGGGGCAGCAGUAGGGAAUCUUCCACAAUGGGCGAAAGCCUGAUGGAGCAACGCCGCGUGGGUGAAGAAGGUCUUCGGAUCGUAAAACCCUGUUGUUAGAGAAGAAAGUGCGUGAGAGUAACUGUUCACGUUUCGACGGUAUCUAACCAGAAAGCCACGGCUAACUACGUGCCAGCAGCCGCGGUAAUACGUAGGUGGCAAGCGUUAUCCGGAUUUAUUGGGCGUAAAGGGUGCGCAGGCGGGCUUGUAAGUCAGAUGUGAAAUCCUGUAGCUUAACUACAGAACUGCAUUUGAA
This 305-nucleotide ribosomal RNA is filed under the name uncultured bacterium. RNAcentral's name for it is "bacterial SSU rRNA". It matches the Rfam family "Bacterial small subunit ribosomal RNA", at positions 334 to 631 of the family's 1533-position model. The record is from RNAcentral.